GAUGAAGAACGUAGCGAAAUGUGAUACUUGGUGUGAAUUGCAGAAUCCCGUGAACCAUCGAGUCUUUGAACGCAAGUUGCGCCCGAAGCCGUCAGGCCGAGGGCACGCCUGCCUGGGCGUCACACGCCGUUGCCCCCCCGCGCCCCGCACCCAACUCUUUGGGAGCGACCGCGGGGCGGGCUGAUGAUGGCCUCCCGUGCGCUCCGCCGCGCGGUUGGCCCAAAUACCGAGUCCCCGGCGACGUGCGCCACGACGAUCGGUGGUUGAGAGACCUCUGUCGCAAGUCGUGCGCGCCCGUCGCGUCACGCGGGCUCGCAUAGCGCCUCGCGCCGCACCCGGUGCGGAGCUUUCAACGCGACCCCAGGUCAGGCGGGGUUACCCGCUGAAUUUAAGCAUAUCAAUAAGCGGAGGA
RNAcentral lists this unclassified non-coding RNA (412 nucleotides) under soil metagenome. RNAcentral describes it as "partial contains 5.8S ribosomal RNA, internal transcribed spacer 2, and large subunit ribosomal RNA". The stretch from base 1 to 122 matches the Rfam family "5.8S ribosomal RNA", at positions 35 to 154 of the family's 154-position model. The record is from RNAcentral.